Salvelinus sp. IW2-2015 is the source of this 325-nucleotide non-coding RNA. Lineage: Eukaryota; Metazoa; Chordata; Actinopteri; Salmoniformes; Salmonidae. The record is from RefSeq and is a predicted model, not a curated record.
AUCAGCUGACAUCAAAUCAACUGACUACAAUUACAGUUUAGGUUUUUGUUAGAAUAACCAAAAAUAUAUGCACAUUUACGUAUGAUAACUUGCAUGUAAAUAGCUACUAAGCAUUUAUAUAUUCUGUAGCUAGGCUAUAGCGAAAAGAGGUUGCUAAAGCCAGCUUACUCAAUUCUAAACAAAGUAACGUUAUUUCACGUGUUGUCGGGAUUUGUGUGUUUUAACGCGUGACUAUGGACAAGCUAGCCUUAGAUGUUGGUGAUAUUCAGUCCAGGCCAAUGGCGUGUCGUAAAAGGGGAGAUCUGCUAUUUUGUGAAUUUUUAGG